This 6504-nucleotide long non-coding RNA is filed under the name Salmo salar (Atlantic salmon). RNAcentral's name for it is "lncRNA (ENSSSAG00000083761.1)". Lineage: Eukaryota; Metazoa; Chordata; Actinopteri; Salmoniformes; Salmonidae. The record is from RNAcentral.
CUAUGGCUUCCACUACAUGUCAACAGUCUUUAGAAAUUGGUUGAUGUUUUUCUUUUGAGAAAUGAACAAGUAUGGCUGUUCUUUGUCAGUGUUACUCCAUGUGGACUCUACUGUUUGGUGCACGUAAACUGGAACGCACUUCAGGAGGUGGCAUGAUGUCGUCAGACAGGGAUAAAAGGGCUGUGUUUGGUAAAGGGAUCGCGUUCGACCCCUGCCAGCUUCGAGACCCUUGGGAGAACAGACCUCAGAAGAUCAGUGAGAAGGGACGACAGGAGAAGGAGGGGCAGGAAAAUAGAGACCUGAAUCGGCUUAUUAAAGAGCGGCACAUUCGACUGAUGGCAUUGGAGAAGAAAGGAAAGGGCAGAAAGAUGGUGUAUUGUCCUCUACUGAAACGGUUUAGGCUUGAUCCUCCACUAGACGCAGCCCCGCCCCCGCCCCCACCCCCACCCACUCCCAAGAAAUCACCACGACGGGUGAAGAUAGAGAUCCCCAAGCCAGUGGAGAAGAAGCCCACCCCACCUAAACCAUCACCUCCUCCUCUGCCCAAAGUCAUUCUCUCUUACAAAGACUUACAAAGACGAUCUGAGGGAAAAUGGUGGAGGGGUAUUAGGGAUAGAGAACUACCGAAUGGUCCAAGUGAAUGGUCAAAGCCCUUUAAGUGUCGACCACUGCAGUUCAGUAGAAUCCUUUACGACCAAACAUUGUCGUGGCAGCGGGGAUGGCCAACGUUCAGCCGGGAAAAAAGCAACAAACUACUGAAAGUUAAACCUUUGGAUGACAAAGUUAACCUUAAAGAGUGGAAGGAUUCUUGGAAGAUGUCCAGGCCUUUACCCAAGCAGCACACAGAAAACAGGGGCAUUACAGAAAAAGUAAAGGCUUUCAGAGAGUGGCAGAAUCGCUUGGCAAUCAGCAGAAAUAGAACAUCUACGGCAGUGGAGAAGAAAGGAAAGAACAGCGACAUGUCUAACUUCAGGUCUAAAGUGGCACCUCCACCAAAUAUACAUAAAUCUGAGCCACCAACUCAUGAGAAGAAACAUGAACCACUCCUUCAGCUGAGGAAGGAGAGCUCUGAGGAAAAUAAGCCCACCGUACCCAAGAGCGCAAAGCCCCCAGCCCCACAACCCAAGGAGAAGAAGCUGCUUGCUAGAAAACCGUCACCUCCUCAGGAUGACACAGUAAAUCUUCCAUGGUGGAAGAAAGUUUGUAGGACGUCCAAGCCUUCACUCAAGCAGCACACAGAGAAUCAGAUGAUUGCAGAAACUGUGAAGACAGGGACGGGCGAUGACAUGUCUGACUCCAGAAAAAUCGUGAUGAGCCUUGACAAUGAUGCUGACAUUGAAGCAGCACAUUUGGAGUCCAGGUUUGGAGACCAGGUUUGGAGGCCAGGUUUGGAGGCCAGGUUUGGAGGCCAGGCCAAGGUGGUACCUCCACCCAUACCACCCACAAAGAAACGUGAACCACCCAAGAAAUCGCAGUUUGAUGCCCCCCAAAUAACUCAGGCUUCAUCGGACAUACUUGAUGUCGAUAAUUGGUCAGAAGCCUGGAAGACUCAACCACUGUUGUUGAACAUUAAAGAACAAGUAUCUCUGGAGGCUUGGGAGCAGGAAUGGCCAGAGUUCACAGAGGAACAAAAUGAUAAACGACUGAAUGCUAAGCCUUUGGAUGACAAUGUAAAUCUUACAGAAUGGGGGGAUGCUUGGAAGACGCCCAAGCCUUUAGCCAAGCAGCACAUUGAGGACUUGACGGUUACAGAGACAGUAAAGCCCAAAGCCUUGACAGGUUGGAGAGAGGCAAGGAGGCUCUCUGGUGACAAUGUUCAAAAUAAUCCUCCAAGCUUGAAGGAUUGGCGUGACUCGUGGAGUUUCUGCCAAGAGCAUCGCUGGUGGAAGGUUUCUAUGGACUCCCAGAUGUCAAAACAACUUUUUUCCCAUCUAAGGAAAAGGGGCGGAGGGCUUUUUUUGUUUUGUUUUUUGUUUUUGUUUCUUUGUUUUCUUGGACACAAUACGGACUGGGGACAAUAGGACUUAAUUACCAUGACAGCCAUGAAGCAAGCAAACAUUACAAACAAAUAAACAACACAUUUAGGUUAAGACAAAAACAAUGACAACCAUGCAUUACUAUCAUUAUAACCUAAUUAACUUAAAGUAACUUUUAAAAGACCAAACUCGAAGAAAACUGUUAACAGUAUGUGAUGGGACAUGUAAGGAAAGGAAAGGGAAGGAAAAGAAGGCUGGUAGAAAGUGAGAUGUUAUGGCAAGGAUUUUGUAAAGUGUAUGUAUGCAGAUGGGAUUAGGCUGUGGGGGAUUGUGGGCUGAGGGCCCUUGGGUAAUAUUUUUGUCAGCAGAUAAACUUUAGAAAAGAUGGUGGAUAAAUGAAGAUAUCUUACGACGUUUACCAUUGAAAAAAAUGGUCACAGUUCCGGUCUACUUAAGGAGUGGCUCUCGGGUCUGGUAUAAUUAGUUAAUUGACUGUACUGUAUAUGAACCAGAAAGAAUUAAGGAGUGAGAUGUUUCGCUUCCUCCUCCGUCUCUGACUGUAGGCAUUUCCUAAUUCCAUCAGGACCCAAACUGACAGAGCUGCACUAGUUGACUUCAAGAAACCCGAAGAAGCUUCCUUUUCAGAUAUGUAGUGUUUGAUAUUAGCGAAUGUGGGACACAUUUUAUUUUUACGUGGGCAAGGAUGUGACAGGGUGUAGCUGAUAUUGUUGAGUUAAUUAACAUAGUCAUGUUACAUGCCUCCUAUUGGUCUGUUCAAACUGAUUCUUUGUGUUUUGUCUUAAUUGAUUGCAGGUGUGACUGCGGAGCAUGCGUCUCCUCCUGUUAUCUUAAAAUGGCUGCAUUUCCUGCCAACCAGGAAGAGGAAAAAAGAGCCGCUGCUACCUCCAAGUCCUUAGACUAGCUCUAGCCUAUGGACUGAACUCCCAAUCACAGUUGAAAAUAAUUAUAUCUAGUCUCUGUGUUUAUUGUGACAUUCUGAGUACAUCUUGUCGGCUCAGUGUCUGUGGGGACUUGGAGACAGUCAGCAAAGGAGGUGGCAUGAUGUCGUCAGACAGGGAUAAAGGGACAGUGUACGACAGCUUCCAGCUCAUGAACCAAUGGGAGAACAGAGCUAAGCAGUUCAGUCAGAAGGGACAACUGGAAAAGGAGAGACAAGGAAAGAGUGCCUUGAAUGGGCUUUACAAAAAGUGGCAGUCUUGCUUGGCGAACAAAAAUGGAACCCCUACGGCAGCGGAGAAGAAAGGAAAGGGCAGCGACAUAUCUGACUUCAGAAAGGUUGCGGUGAUCCCAGACAUUGAUGCUGACAUCAAAGGAGCCAUGUUUAAGGUGGUACCACCACCAAAGAUUCCCAAACCUGCUCCAUCCCCACCACCACCACCCAAAAAGAAACCACCCAAGAGGGCAAAGCCCCAAGUUCUCAAACCAGCCGGGGGCUGGGAUGAGUCAUGGAAAAGCCUGAAGCCCCCAGAGCAGGAAGUCCAACCUGAGGAAAAAUGGUGGAGGGAUUUUAAGCCAGAUAGAUACCUACCUCUCAGCGAAUGGGCAAGGCCCUUCAAGUGUCGACCACUGUUAUUCAGUUUCAUCCUUCACCAGCAAACAGAGUGGUGGCAGCGAGGAUGGCCAGUGUUCAGCCGGGAACAAAGCAACAAACUAUUGAAAGCUAAGACUUUGGAUGUCGAAGUAUACCUUCCAGGGUGGGAGGACGCUUGGAAGACAUCCAGAUCUUUAUCCAAGCAAUACAUUGAGAACAAGAUGAUUACAGAAACAGUACAGCCCAAAGCCUUCUUCCCAGGCUGGACAGAAUCUUGGAAGGUCGCAGGUGAAAAUGUCCAAAACAGUGGCCGAUAUCUUAGGGAUUGGCACGAGUCCUGGAGUUUGUGCCAAGAACACCACUGGUGCAAGGCCCCCAUAGACUCCCAGUUGAUGUCAAAACAUGUGUUCUCCGAUGAGUUGUUGAUCUCCCAGCUUGAUGAGGAGAUCCCAUCUUCAUCAGAUUGGAUAGAGUCCUGGAAAUCUGUGAAAUCUCAGCCCCAGUCCCAGUCCCAAGAGUCCCAGUCAGAGCCCAAAGGGACUGAAUUAGAGGUAGAAAUGUCCCAUGUGCCACUGCAUCUCCAGUUCCACAAGCUUAACACACCUUUCUCAAACUGGCACGAGUCUUGGAAAGUGUCAACUGCAAAUAACGAAGCAAUUGAAGAUGGAUGGAAAGGUUCCUGGAAAAUAUAUAGUCAGAAUCAAAAUCAAAAUAACACAAAAGCCCAAAGAGAUGUUGUGUUUUUCUCAAAUAAGUACAAGACCCAAAGGUUGCGGGGUGUCGACAGCAUGCCUCAGAGUGAAUGGUCUAAAUCCUGGAAGACCCCCAUGCCUCCCCAACAUACUUUCUUGCCAGGUUGGAAAGAAUCUUGGAAACAAAACAGCAAUCCAUAUUGGAAGGAUUGGCAUGAGUCCUGGAGUUUAUGCCAAGAACACCACUUUUGCAAGUCCUUUAUGAACUCCCAGUACUGCCAUCAUGCCAUGAUGAUGUCAAAAUGCUUGCUGACUAAUGAGCUGUUGAGCUCCCAGCUUGAUGAGGAGAUCCCAUCUUCAUAUGAGUGGAUAGAGUCCUGGAAAUCUGUGAAACCUUAUCCUCAGUCCCAAUCAGAUUCAGAAGAAACUGAAUCAGAGUUGGAUAUGUCCCAUGUGCCACUGCAUCUUCAGUUCUACAAGCUUAACACACCUUUCUCAAACUGGCAUGAGUCUUGGAAAGUGUCAACUGCGCAAGCUGUAGCAGGUAAAGACGAACAAGAACAUCCUUCAACAGAAUGGACUGAUUCCUGGAAGAUAUCUUGGAUGAAUCUAAAUAAAAAUGACUUAAAACCCCAAAAGGAUGUUGUAUUUUUCUCAAGGCAUAAGACUGAAUGUUUCUUGAGUGUUGACUGUAUGGUCCAGAAUGAAUGGUCUGAAUGCUGGAAGACCAUCAAGCCUACCCAAUACACUGAGACACAGGAGGAGGAGGAGGAAAAAGAUAGCCAUUCUGAUUCCUCAAAAAAUGUGUCACAUCUAAUAGAGAUUCCUUUGAAUGAUUGGGCAGAAUCAUGGAGGUUCAAGCCAGAGGACGAGAGCCCCACCUCACCCAAGACGGCACAGCCCCUAGCCCCAAAACCAGAGGAGGAGAUGCUGAAAGCCAGCACACCAUCACCUCCUCAGCCUUACAAAUACAAUCUUAACCAGGCAAGCUGGGGUGAUUCCUGGAAAAUCCUGAAGCCCCCACAGAAGGAAGUCCCAUCUGAGAAAAAAUGGUGGAGGGCGUUUAAGCAGGACAGAAAUCUACCUUUCAAUGAAUGGGCAAAGCCCUUCAAGUGUCGACCACUGCUAUUCAGUCGCUUACUGCACACACAAACAACAUCCUGGCAGCAGGGAUGGCCAGCGUUCAGCCGGGAACAAAGCAACAAACUACUGAAUGCUAAGCCUUUGGAUAACAAAGUAAACCUUCUGGAGUGGGAGGAUGCUUGGAAGACACUCAAGCGUUUACACAAGCAGCAUGCUGAGAACAAGAUGAUUACAGAAAGAGUACAGCCCGAUGGCUUCUUGCCAGGUUGGAUAGAAUCUUGGAAGGUCGCAGGUAACAAUGUCCAAAACAACAAUCCAUAUCUGAAGGAUUGGCGUGAGUCCUGGAGUUUUUGUCAUGAACAUCACUCAUACAGGGCCUCUAUAGACUCCCAGAAUCGGCAGUAUCUCCCAGUAUCACUAAAACACAAGCUGUCCAAUGAUCUGUUGAUCUCCCAGCUUGAUGAAAACAUUACGUCCUCACCAGAAGGGUGAGGACGUGCUGAAGACAACAUGCUGAAGACAACAUGCCUCAGAAUGAAUGGUCUGAAUGUUGGAAGACACAGCAGCAGCACCAGCAGCAGUUGGAGGACUGGGCAGAGUCUUGGAGGUUAUCUGUCGCCCCAGAAUCCAACAACUCAGUAUCACUAGACCGGUGGAAACAAUCAUGGAGACUCUCAAACCCAAAUCACCCACAUCAGCUUAACCAGGGCACAGAGCCUCUCAUACACAACGGCCCCAAACACCACAUGCAACUCCACGCGGUUGAACUGCCCCAGGCAGAAUGGAGCAACUCCUGGCAGUACCUCAAGUCAGACACUGGAUCCUAAUACGAAGAAGAAAACAGACAUACAGUAGAACAUUAUAACAUGUACGUCAAAUGAUCAGAUGUGUAUUUGAUCCUAUACUAUUUAUACUUAAUGUCAAUAUACAUACUUGUUAAAUGUCUUAUUACUGGACACAUUGGAGUGUGACGAGCAGAAUUCUCUGCUGCAGAGAGGAGGUUGGGGUGAAUGAAGUGUAUAAUGCGUGGUUUGCAUAGCUGUUGGAAACUUUAAACCUAACCUAAUCUCAACCUAAUCUAAUCUAUUCUAUUGAUUGAAAUGUUGUUGUUUUCUAUCGGCUGUUGUUGCUACUUCUAUUGUUGCUGGUUGUCUUUGUGACUAAAUUAAUGCUUGAUUGACGAACACUUUAUCCAUCUUGG